UGCUCCUAUCGUAUAACGGCUAUUACGGUUGCCUUGUAAGCAACUUAUCAGGGUUCGAGUCCUUGUGGGAGCACCAA
RNAcentral lists this transfer RNA (77 nucleotides) under Escherichia phage JLBYU50. RNAcentral's name for it is "tRNA-Thr". It matches the Rfam family "tRNA". From Rfam's summary of the family: Transfer RNA (tRNA) molecules are approximately 80 nucleotides in length. Their secondary structure includes four short double-helical elements and three loops (D, anti-codon, and T loops). Further hydrogen bonds mediate the characteristic L-shaped molecular structure. tRNAs have two regions of fundamental functional importance: the anti-codon, which is responsible for specific mRNA codon recognition, and the 3' end, to which the tRNAs corresponding amino acid is attached (by aminoacyl-tRNA synthetases). tRNAs cope with the degeneracy of the genetic code in two manners: having more than one tRNA (with a specific anti-codon) for a particular amino acid; and 'wobble' base-pairing, i.e. permitting non-standard base-pairing at the 3rd anti-codon position. Lineage: Duplodnaviria; Heunggongvirae; Uroviricota; Caudoviricetes. The record is from RNAcentral.